Vigna angularis (adzuki bean) is the source of this 553-nucleotide long non-coding RNA. RefSeq lists it as uncharacterized. The transcript has 3 exons. The record is from RefSeq and is a predicted model, not a curated record. NCBI's taxonomy places the organism in Eukaryota, Viridiplantae, Streptophyta, Magnoliopsida, Fabales, Fabaceae.
CAAUUUGGGCUCAUGACCUUGGUAAGGGGGCUCUCCUAAAAAGAAAAGGUUGAAGUUCAAUUGCCAAUUCUCCUUUCUCUCUCUAAAACCCCCUUUUCCCAAAUUCGUUUCUGCCUUCUCUCUAGCCUCCACACUGAUUUAGCCAUUGCAUGUUCUGUUAGGUGGUACCCUAGCGACCGUCUCGUAGAAAGCUUCAAAACCAUCCGAUUGAUUUUACGUUCUUCAACCGGGCACUGCUUAAGUUCUUCCCGGAGUAGGAUACUGUUGAAAGUUGUGUUGUGUGCUAGACUGCUCAACUUUAAGUAGGUGAUGAUGUACCUUUGGAGCAAGCUUUGGAAGUUGAGGAAGACCCAGCCCCUAGUGCUUAGGAUUUCUACUAGCUCUUAUUUUUAAACAGUUCUUUAUUUUGAAAGACUUCUAGCCUUCAUGUUAUCAUAAUCUGCAUUUUUGGAGAAUUAUGAACUUGUACUUAAGUUUUAAAACUUCCCAGCCUGACUUGGAUAACUGUACUCCUUAAUUCUAUCUAUUGUGUACUCUUAACUACUUUCUAUUA